UCUCGAUUCGUCUAGUGGUUAGGAUACCGGCUUGUCAAGGACAAUUGUCAAAGACAAACCAUGCGCCGGUGGCCGGGGUUCAAUUCCCCGAUCGAGAG
Hypoxylon crocopeplum is the source of this 98-nucleotide non-coding RNA. The record is from the annotation of a GenBank genome assembly. Lineage: Eukaryota; Fungi; Ascomycota; Sordariomycetes; Xylariales; Hypoxylaceae.